GACCCAUGCUGUCCCAUUGAUGUUUCUACGCAAUGUUCCCCACUCUGUGCCCCUCUGUCCCCAUAACAUCCCACACAGUUUUCCUUAUGCUGUCCCCAUGCUGUCCGCAUGACAUCUCCUAUUUCAAGUUGUCCUGAUGUCCCGUACUGCUUUCCCUAGUGUCCCCACCAUGCCUCCGUGAUGUUGCAUUUGCUUUCCCAGUCCUCUCCCCGUUAUGUCUGCCACCACCUUCAUGAUAACUCAUGCUGUCUUUUCAGACUGUCCCCACACUGUCCCUAUGUUGUUUUCCCCAUGCUAUCAGCACAUCAUUCCCAUGCUGUACCUGCACUGUCCCCAAAUCUAUCCAAAUGUUGUCCUCAAACCUGUCGCUCCCUUGUCUCCACCCUAGUCUGCUCUAUCCUCACCCUGUCCCCAUGGUCCCACUGGCUGUGGUGGCAUCCCAUGGUGCUCACCCGCUGUUCCUACAGGGUCACACCUUCCUCAGACCACCUUCCUCACACCUUCCUCGCUGCCCUCUGACCUUGUGGUUCAGUGACACUGUGCUCCCACCCUCCCUGCGCUGGAGGACUCAUGGAUAGCAGGUACGCCCAACCACACCAGCAUGGACAUGUGCCACACCCACAGCUGCCACCAUGAUGCUGACUGAGGCAAACAAGGGACACAGCUUCUCUCCCCGGGACAUCCCUGCCUGCAUGAGCAGGGUGGUCACCCAGGAGGAGGCAGCUCCCAGCAUUGUCCGUGUCCAUCUAGAUGGAGACCAGCCUUGGAUCUAACCGAGUCCACACCAGUCUCCCCAGCACAGGGCAUCUCUGAGAGAGGGACCCUGUGUACUGUUGUUGAUCCUCAGGGCCCACAUUACAGACUGCUGGAUCCAACCCAUAGGGACCGCCUACCCAGUUCUCUAUACACUGGUGAUAAAGAGCUGGACCCAAGACACUACCACCUUCCACAGUGGACCCAGCACCACUCCUAGGAGACACUCAAUGGAGGGUCUGGGCCACACAGUGACUGUAGAACCCCAGCAGGAGCAGGAAAGGGUGACUGCCACCAUCCAUGCUUCAGGAGUGGUCUAGUGGGCUGGCCCCAGGCAGGCCAGACACAGCCUUCUGGGUCUCAGGGACAGAGGAGGCCCAAGAGCACCUGUCCCAACAAAGGGACAGAUGGACAGCUGCUGAAAGCACCAAGGCUCGACCAGGCCUGUCCUGCAGGACCAGUGUCCACUCCAGAGCACUUAAACCAGGAAACCCCAGCUGGACAAGAUACCACAGAGAGAGCCCAGUGGCCCAGGAGCCAGGGCUGGGCUGGCACUGGACAGAGGACCCGUGUGCCAUGGUCCUGUCCAGCAUGGGGAAGAUUCCAAGCCAGAGCCUCCAGUCAGGAAGAAUGACACAAGCAGGAAAGGAAACCAGACACCACUCCAUGCUGCGGGAAAAGCCCAGGGAAUAGCUCAGUUCAGCUUUGUAGCUUUCUUCUUCUUGUAGUGUUCUGGAGCCUCUGAUAUCCUGUAAGUUCUCUCUUAAUGACAAUAAAACGUCCUUUAAAC
RNAcentral lists this long non-coding RNA (1543 nucleotides) under Heterocephalus glaber (naked mole-rat). Its description in RNAcentral is "lncRNA (ENSHGLG00000049008.1)". Lineage: Eukaryota; Metazoa; Chordata; Mammalia; Rodentia; Bathyergidae. The record is from RNAcentral.